AUUGAACGCUGGCGGCAUGCCUUACACAUGCAAGUCGAACGGCAGCACGGGAGCAAUCCUGGUGGCGAGUGGCGAACGGGUGAGUAAUACAUCGGAACGUGCCCAGUAGUGGGGGAUAACUACGCGAAAGCGUAGCUAAUACCGCAUACGCUGUGAGCAGGAAAGCGGGGGAUCGCAAGACCUCGCGCUAUUGGAGCGGCCGAUGUCAGAUUAGCUAGUUGGUGGGGUAAAAGCUCACCAAGGCGACGAUCUGUAGCUGGUCUGAGAGGACGACCAGCCACACUGGGACUGAGACACGGCCCAGACUCCUACGGGAGGCAGCAGUGGGGAAUUUUGGACAAUGGGGGCAACCCUGAUCCAGCCAUGCCGCGUGUGCGAAGAAGGCCUUCGGGUUGUAAAGCACUUUUGGCAGGAACGAAACGGUUUGCGUUAAUACCGCGAACUAAUGACGGUACCUGCAGAAUAAGCACCGGCUAACUACGUGCCAGCCGCCGCAGUAA
This 500-nucleotide ribosomal RNA is filed under the name uncultured bacterium. RNAcentral describes it as "partial 16S ribosomal RNA". It matches the Rfam family "Bacterial small subunit ribosomal RNA", at positions 30 to 523 of the family's 1533-position model. The record is from RNAcentral.